AGCUCCAAUAGCGUAUACUAAUGUUGUUGCAGUUAAAAAAGCUCGUAGUCGGAUUUCAGUAGGCUCAGUUUAGUCUUCAUUGUAAGAUCUAUAUGGGCCUGCUUCUUUGACAGAAACUUCUAUGUUAUUCAUUUAGCGUGGGCAGCGACUGUCUCUUUUACUUUGAGAAAAUUAGAGUGUUCAAAGCAGGUAGAUGCCUGAAUAUUACUCUUGGAAUAAUGCUAUAAG
RNAcentral lists this ribosomal RNA (228 nucleotides) under uncultured eukaryote. RNAcentral's name for it is "partial small subunit ribosomal RNA". It matches the Rfam family "Eukaryotic small subunit ribosomal RNA", at positions 587 to 826 of the family's 1831-position model. The record is from RNAcentral.